GACAGGACUGGGUUAUAGACAGGACUGGGUUAUAGACAGGACUGGGUUAUAGACACUACUAGGUUAUAGACACUACUGGGUUGUAGACAGGACUGGGUUAUAGACACUACUAGGUUAUAGACAGGACUGGGUUAUAGACACUACUAGGUUAUAGACAGGACUGGGUUAUAGACAGGACUGGGUUAUAGACAGGACUGGGUUAUAGACAGGACUGGGUUAUAGACAGGACUGGGUUAUAGACAGGACUGGGUUAUAGACAGGACUGGGUUAUAGACAGGACUGGGUUAUAGACACUACUGGGUUAUAGACAGGACUGGGUUAUAGACAGGACUAGGUUAUAGACAGGACUGGGUUAUAGACACUACUGGGUUAUAGACACUACUGGGUUAUAGACAGGACUGGGUUAUAGACACUACUAGGUUAUAGACAGGACUGGGUUAUAGACACUACUGGGUUAUAGACAGGACUGGGUUAUAGACACUACUAGGUUAUAGACAGGACUGGGUUAUAGACACUACUGGGUUAUAGACAGGACUAGGUUAUAGACAGGACUGGGUUAUAGACACUACUAGGUUAUAGACACAGUGCAUUAUUUCCACUCUGCACACUUCUUCAUACACUAGCUUCAUACAUCAUACAUUCCCAGUCACAGACAUACU
Molecule: long non-coding RNA, 659 nt
Organism: Oncorhynchus keta (chum salmon)
Lineage: Eukaryota; Metazoa; Chordata; Actinopteri; Salmoniformes; Salmonidae
Exons: 4
Source: RefSeq, a predicted model, not a curated record